Molecule: ribosomal RNA, 401 nt
Filed under: uncultured bacterium
Lineage: Bacteria
Description: bacterial SSU rRNA
Rfam family: Bacterial small subunit ribosomal RNA
Source: RNAcentral
UGGGGAAUAUUGGACAAUGGGGGCAACCCUGAUCCAGCAAUACCGCGUGAGUGAAGAAGGCCUUCGGGUUGUAAAGCUCUUUUACCGGGGAAGAUAAUGACGGUACCCGGGGAAUAAGCUCCGGCUAACUUCGUGCCAGCAGCCGCGGUAAUACGAAGGGAGCUAGCGUUGUUCGGAAUUACUGGGCGUAAAGGGCGCGUAGGCGGUUUUGUAAGUCAGAUGUGAAAGCCCCGGGCUUAACCUGGAACUGCAUUUGAGACUGCAAGACUAGAGAUCGAGAGAGGAAAGUGGAAUGACGGGUGUAGAAGUGAAAUUCGGAGAUAUUCGUAGGAACACCGGUGGCGAAGGCGACUUUCUGGCUCGACCCUGACGCUAAAGCGCGAAAGCGUGGGGAGCAAACA